Molecule: ribosomal RNA, 89 nt
Filed under: Caerostris darwini
Lineage: Eukaryota; Metazoa; Arthropoda; Arachnida; Araneae; Araneidae
Source: RNAcentral
UCCGGUUCUCGUUAGAUCACCGAAGUUAAGCAUCAUUGGGCGCGGUCAGUACUUGGGUGGGUGACCACCUGGGAACACUGCGUGCUGUU